CUGAGGAUGGGUCUGCGGCCGAUUAGGUAGUUGCUGGGGUAACGUCCCAACAAGCCAAUAAUCGGUACGGGUUGUGAGAGCAAGAGCCCGGAGAUGGAUUCUGAGACACGAAUCCAGGCCCUACGGGGCGCAGCAGGCGCGAAAACUUUACACUGCGCGAAAGCGCGAUAAGGGGACCUCGAGUGCGUGCGCAAUGCGUACGCUUUUCAGAUGCCUAAAAAGCAUGUGGAAUAAGGGCCGGGCAAGACCGGUGCCAGCCGCCGCGGUAACACCGGCGGCUCAAGUGGUGGCCGCUAUUAUUGGGCUUAAAGGGUCCGUAGCCGGACCAGUUAGUCCCUUGGGAAAUCUUACGGCAUAACCGUAAGGCUGCCAAUGGAUACUGCUGGUCUUGGGACCGGGAGAGGUAAGAGGUACUUCAGGGGUAGGAGUGAAAUCCUGUAAUCCUUGAGGGACCGCCAGUGGCGAAGGCGUCUUACUAGAACGGGUCCGACGGUGAGGGACGAAAGCUAGGGGCACGAACCGGAUUAGAUACCCGGGUAGUCCUAGCCGUAAACGAUGCGAGCUAGGUGUCACGUGGAUUGCGAAUCCAUGUGGUGCCGAAGGGAAACCGUGAAGCUCGCCGCCCGGGAAGUACGGCCGCAAGGCUGAAACUUAAAGGAAUUGGCGGGGGAG
This 672-nucleotide ribosomal RNA is filed under the name uncultured archaeon. RNAcentral describes it as "bacterial SSU rRNA". It matches the Rfam family "Archaeal small subunit ribosomal RNA", at positions 203 to 876 of the family's 1478-position model. The record is from RNAcentral.